RNAcentral lists this ribosomal RNA (492 nucleotides) under uncultured bacterium. RNAcentral describes it as "partial 16S ribosomal RNA". It matches the Rfam family "Bacterial small subunit ribosomal RNA", at positions 29 to 507 of the family's 1533-position model. The record is from RNAcentral.
AGUGAACGCUGGCGGUAGGCCUAACACAUGCAAGUCGAACGGCAGCAUAGUAAGAGCUUGCUCUUACGGGUGGCGAGUGGCGGACGGGUGAGGAAUAUAUCGGAAUCUACUUUUUCGUGGGGGAUAACGUAGGGAAACUUACGCUAAUACCGCAUACGACCUACGGGUGAAAGCAGGGGAUCUUCGGACCUUGCGCGAUUGAAUGAGCCGAUGUCGGAUUAGCUAGUUGGCGGGGUAAAGGCCCACCAAGGCGACGAUCCGUAGCUGGUCUGAGAGGAUGAUCAGCCACACUGGAACUGAGACACGGUCCAGACUCCUACGGGAGGCAGCAGUGGGGAAUAUUGGACAAUGGGCGCAAGCCUGAUCCAGCCAUACCGCGUGGGUGAAGAAGGCCUUCGGGUUGUAAAGCCCUUUUGUUGGGAAAGAAAAGCAGCAGGUUAAUACCCCGCUGUUCUGACGGUACCCAAAGAAUAAGCACCGGCUAACUUCGUG